Molecule: long non-coding RNA, 201 nt
Filed under: Mytilus galloprovincialis (Mediterranean mussel)
Lineage: Eukaryota; Metazoa; Mollusca; Bivalvia; Mytilida; Mytilidae
Source: RNAcentral
CCGCUGUUAAAAUAUGCGACAUGUGUCUGGUCACCGUACCUUAAAAAAGCCACCCGCAAACUGGAAUCUGUACAAAGAAGGGCCACAAAACUGGUAAACAAUAUUUAUCAUCUUAAUUACGAAGACAGACUACGUUCUUUCGGUUUGCCAACCUUGGAAUAUCGUAGGGAUAGGAAUAAUAUGAUAGAAGUCUACAAAGCG